GAUGAAGAACGUAGCGAAAUGCGAUACUUGGUGUGAAUUGCAGAAUCCCGUGAACCAUCGAGUCUUUGAACGCAAGUUGCGCCCGAAGCCAUCAGGUUGAGGGCACGUCUGCCUGGGCGUCACACAUCGUUGCCCAAUGCCUAUUGCAGUGCAAUAGGAAUUUCUAGGGCGAAUGAUGGCUUCCCGUGAGCGUUGUUGCCUCGCGGUUGGUUGAAAAUCGAGUCCUUGGUAGGGUGUGCCAUGGUAGAUGGUGGUCGAGUUAGAACGAUACCGAUCAUGUGCAUGCUCCCCAAAAUAUGGCCUCUAUGACCCACACGCGUCUUUUGACGCUCAUGACGAGACCUCAGGUCAGGCGGGGCUACCCGCUGAAUUUAAGCAUAUCAAUAAGCGGAGGA
This 395-nucleotide unclassified non-coding RNA is filed under the name soil metagenome. Its description in RNAcentral is "partial contains 5.8S ribosomal RNA, internal transcribed spacer 2, and large subunit ribosomal RNA". The stretch from base 1 to 122 matches the Rfam family "5.8S ribosomal RNA", at positions 35 to 154 of the family's 154-position model. The record is from RNAcentral.